GAUGAACGCUGGCGGCGCGCCUAACACAUGCAAGUCGAACGAUUAAAGCACCUUCGGGUGUGUAUAAAGUGGCGAACGGCUGAGUAACACGUGGGCAACCUGCCCCUUUCAUUGGGAUAGCCACGGGAAACCGUGGAUAAUACCGAAUACUUCGAGACUUCCGCAUGGAAGACUCGAGAAAGCUCCGGCGGAGAGGGAUGGGCCCGCGGCCUGUUAGCUUGUUGGUGGGGUAACGGCCUACCAAGGCAAUGAUGGGUAGCUGGGUUGAGAGACCGACCAGCCAGAUUGGGACUGAGACACGGACCAGACUCCUACGGGAGGCAGCAGUGGGGAAUCUUGCACAAUGGGCGAAAGCCUGAUGCAGCGACGCCGCGUGCGGGAUGAAGGCCUUCGGGUUGUAAACCGCUUUCAGCAGGGACGAGGCGAAAGUGACGGUACCUGCAGAAGAAGCCCCGGCUAACUACGUG
RNAcentral lists this ribosomal RNA (467 nucleotides) under uncultured bacterium. Its description in RNAcentral is "partial 16S ribosomal RNA". It matches the Rfam family "Bacterial small subunit ribosomal RNA", at positions 28 to 507 of the family's 1533-position model. The record is from RNAcentral.